CUACAAGAGUACAGUAGCUCACAGGCUGUGGUGGGGUGUACUCGUCACGCUCGCUACGUUCAGCCGCGGAUGAGACUGAAGUAGUAAUUACUGUACCUUUGUUGUCUGUAUUAGCUAUAGGCAAUGUUGGGAACUCAUGAGAAAUCCUUCCCCUGCACUUACAGUACUCAGUGCCGAAUUUGUGGCGAAAAUAGAAAACAUAGCCUUGAGCAUUACAUAUGAGAGUGCAGACCAAAUCGCUCGCUCUUUGUUGCCACUUAACAAAACUCUGUAAAUUCAUCUUAACUACCAAUGUCUUGGACACUAAUUUACCGUUAUAUAGAAAAUUUUGUACCAUAUAAAAUACAUGCUCUGGGUGCGAGGUCCACUGCCUUAUUCUUUACCGUGUAAUUCAGUUUGACGGCUGAUUUGCAUGUGUACUGUACAGUAUAUAGGACUGCCGUCCUUAUAUAGGGUGCGAUGCGCGUCGGGGGAUUUGAACAGCCAGUAAGUGUACCUAGUAGUGCCUGACCCUAGUGCCAUGAAGUUGGCACCAUCACCUACCCACCUCCAGUGCCAUUAUGUGGUGGUGCUGGUCCUGAGCUGUGGCCUCAAUCUGGCACAUCAUCUCCCACCUAACGAAGGUGGGUUAUGCGUGAAGAAGAUUGACAUCCAGGAGAGUAAGAGCAAAGACACUGACGCUUACAAAUUCUACCUACACCUCGAGCCUGCCUGUUCCCCAGGUGAGUGACUGCUGGUACCUCCCCCACCC
Long non-coding RNA from Homarus americanus (American lobster), 751 nucleotides. RefSeq lists it as uncharacterized. The transcript has 3 exons. The record is from RefSeq and is a predicted model, not a curated record. NCBI's taxonomy places the organism in Eukaryota, Metazoa, Arthropoda, Malacostraca, Decapoda, Nephropidae.